CAGCCGUAAACAAUGUGCGUUAGGUGUGUCGGUAACCACGUGUUACUGAUGCGCCGAAGAGAAAUCGUGAAACGCACCACCUGGGAAGUACGGUCGCAAGGCUGAAACUUAAAGGAAUUGGCGGGGGAGCACCACAACAGGUGGAGCCUGCGGUUUAAUUGGAUUCAACGCCGGACAUCUCACCGGAUAAGACAGCUGAAUGGUUGUCAAUCUGAAGGUUUUACAUGACUAGCUGAGAGGAGGUGCAUGGCGUCAGUGACU
Molecule: ribosomal RNA, 261 nt
Filed under: uncultured archaeon
Lineage: Archaea
Description: partial 16S ribosomal RNA
Rfam family: Archaeal small subunit ribosomal RNA
Source: RNAcentral